AGAUUGAACGCUGGCGGCAUGCCUUACACAUGCAAGUCGAACGGCAGCACGGGGGCAACCCUGGUGGCGAGUGGCGAACGGGUGAGUAAUGCAUCGGAACGUGCCCAGUAGUGGGGGGAUAACUAGUCGAAAGAUUAGCUAAUACCGCAUACGACCUAUGGGUGAAAGCGGGGGAUUCGCAAGAACCUCGCGCUAUCGGAGCGGCCGAUGUCUGAUUAGCUAGUUGGCGGGUAAAAGCCCACCAAGGCUUCGAUCAGUAGCUGGUCUGAGAGGACGACCAGCCACACUGGGACUGAGACACGGCCCAGACUCCUACGGGAGGCAGCAGUGGGGAAUUUUGGACAAUGGGCGCAAGCCUGAUCCAGCCAUGCCGUGUGCGGGAAGAAGGCCUUCGGUUGUAAACCACUUUUUGGCAGGUAACGAAACGGCGACGACGCAAAUAUACUCGACGUUAAUCGUAACGGUACCUGCAGAAUAAGCACCGCUAACUACGU
This 494-nucleotide ribosomal RNA is filed under the name uncultured soil bacterium. RNAcentral describes it as "bacterial SSU rRNA". It matches the Rfam family "Bacterial small subunit ribosomal RNA", at positions 26 to 506 of the family's 1533-position model. The record is from RNAcentral.